RNAcentral lists this long non-coding RNA (939 nucleotides) under Lupinus mutabilis. RNAcentral's name for it is "partial ncRNA". Lineage: Eukaryota; Viridiplantae; Streptophyta; Magnoliopsida; Fabales; Fabaceae. The record is from RNAcentral.
GACAGACUGUGUAUUUUCAUUUUCAACUUAUAGAUAAAUCAUCGGUCAUGAGCAUCUUGGAGACUAGAACUGAAUGCUUGCAAGUUGCAGCUACAUGUAGAGUGGUGUACAUAGAACUAAUUAACAAAAGAUAACAGAAGCAGGUCUUUCCCAAUUGGAUCAAUAUUUCAAUCCAAGUACCAGGAUGAAAAGAAAUGCAACUAUUGCUGUAAACCCGAUGUAAAUGCAUAAUAUCUAAAAUUUCCAUUGCCAGAAUACUGCAGACAAAAAACAGCGGAUUGGUCAUUUUGUUAGGAGGCGCAAUAUACAAGGCUCUAAUCUAGUGAGGUCUAUGGAAGAUAGGUAUAUGCACUGUUGCUCCCACAAGCAAAUAGGCUAUUUACAUGGUCUUCAUUAACUAGAGAAAAAUAUUGCUAAAGCAGGGUUUUUGGAAGAAUAUUUUUUUAAGCUGCAGCUUCUAAAUCUAAAAGUCAAACUACUGUGAAUACAUUUAUCAAUGAGUUUUGAUCAAUUAGCUCGAGAAAAGCCUAUUGACUGUCAUAUUCAACCUCAAUGCCAUCAUUGUUGUCGUCUUCCUCUUCGGAACUACAAUUGUUGUUGAAGUUGCCUUGUGAAUGUUGAAACUUACUGAUAGCAUCUCUAGCUUCAGAAACCAAAGCAACUUUUGCAGCUUUAACGACGUCCCUUUUCUGAAUGUUGAAACUUAUUGGCACUUGUAAACGUGCACAGGCUGCUUCUCUCUUAGCUUCCCUACAGCGCAAUUGAUGGACGUAUUUCUCAUGCAGUACCCUGUUCUUUACUUGCUUUAGUACAGGGGGGCUAGCAAGAUCUGUAAUACAAGAGCCACUAAACCUUGAAAGGGUCUUCUUCUUAUGCCUUGAAGAUGAUGCCUUGGUGCAAUUUUUCAGGAAGCCUUGUUUUCCUUUUGCUGCUUUGGAG